AGCCCCGUACACAAAAGCGCAUGUGUUGUGAGCUCGAUGAGUAGGGCGGGACACGUGGUAUCCUGUCUGAAUAUGGGGGGACCAUCCUCCAAGGCUAAAUACUCCUGACUGACCGAUAGUGAACCAGUACCGUGAGGGAAAGGCGAAAAGAACCCCGGCGAGGGGAGUGAAAAAGAACCUGAAACCGUGUACGUACAAGCAGUGGGAGCACCCUUCGGGGUGUGACUGCGUACCUUUUGUAUAAUGGGUCAGCGACUUAUAUUCUGUAGCAAGGUUAACCGAAUAGGGGAGCCGGAGGGAAACCGAGUCUUAAUUGGGCGUUAAGUUGCAGGGUAUAGACCCGAAACCCGGUGAUCUAGCCAUGGGCAGGUUGAAGGUUGGGUAACACUAACUGGAGGACCGAACCGACUAAUGUUGAAAAAUUAGCGGAUGACCUGUGGCUGGGGGUGAAAGGCCAAUCAAACCGGGAGAUAGCUGGUUCUCCCCGAAAGCUAUUUAGGUAGCGCCUCGUGAAUUCAUCUCCGGGGGUAGAGCACUGUUUCGGCUAGGGGGCCAUCCCGGCUUACCAACCCGAUGCAAACUGCGAAUACCGGAGAAUGUUAUCACGGGAGACACACGGCGGGUGCUAACGUCCGUCGUGAAGAGGGAAACAACCCAGACCGCCAGCUAAGGUCCCAAAGUCAUGGUUAAGUGGGAAACGAUGUGGGAAGGCCCAGACAGCCAGGAUGUUGGCUUAGAAGCAGCCAUCAUUUAAAGAAAGCGUAAUAGCUCACUGGUCGAGUCGGCCUGCGCGGAAGAUGUAACGGGGCUAAACCAUGCACCGAAGCUGCGGCAGCGACACUGUGUGUUGUUGGGUAGGGGAGCGUUCUGUAAGCCUGUGAAGGUGUGUCGUGAGGCAUGCUGGAGGUAUCAGAAGUGCGAAUGCUGACAUAAGUAACGAUAAAGCGGGUGAAAAGCCCGCUCGCCGGAAGACCAAGGGUUCCUGUCCAACGUUAAUCGGGGCAGGGUGAGUCGACCCCUAAGGCGAGGCCGAAAGGCGUAGUCGAUGGGAAACGGGUUAAUAUUCCCGUACUUGGUGUUACUGCGAAGGGGGGACGGAGAAGGCUAUGUUGGCCGGGCGACGGUUGUCCCGGUUUAAGCGUGUAGGUGUGUGUUCCAGGUAAAUCCGGUUCACUUUAACACUGAGGCGUGACGACGAGGCACUACGGUGCUGAAGCAACAAAUGCCCUGCUUCCAGGAAAAGCCUCUAAGCAUCAGGUAACAUCAAAUCGUACCCCAAACCGACACAGGUGGUCAGGUAGAGAAUACCAAGGCGCUUGAGAGAACUCGGGUGAAGGAACUAGGCAAAAUGGUGCCGUAACUUCGGGAGAAGGCACGCUGACACGUAGGUGAAGUGAUUUACUCAUGGAGCUGAAGUCAGUCGAAGAUACCAGCUGGCUGCAACUGUUUAUUAAAAACACAGCACUGUGCAAACACGAAAGUGGACGUAUACGGUGUGACGCCUGCCCGGUGCCGGAAGGUUAAUUGAUGGGGUCAGCGCAAGCGAAGCUCCUGAUCGAAGCCCCGGUAAACGGCGGCCGUAACUAUAACGGUCCUAAGGUAGCGAAAUUCCUUGUCGGGUAAGUUCCGACCUGCACGAAUGGCGUAAUGAUGGCCAGGCUGUCUCCACCCGAGACUCAGUGAAAUUGAACUCGCUGUGAAGAUGCAGUGUACCCGCGGCAAGACGGAAAGACCCCGUGAACCUUUACUAUAGCUUGACACUGAACAUUGAGCCUUGAUGUGUAGGAUAGGUGGGAGGCUUUGAAGCGUGGACGCCAGUCUGCGUGGAGCCGACCUUGAAAUACCACCCUUUAAUGUUUGAUGUUCUAACGUGGACCCGU
Molecule: ribosomal RNA, 1880 nt
Filed under: Salmonella enterica
Lineage: Bacteria; Pseudomonadati; Pseudomonadota; Gammaproteobacteria; Enterobacterales; Enterobacteriaceae
Description: bacterial LSU rRNA
Rfam family: Bacterial large subunit ribosomal RNA
Source: RNAcentral